AUCACUUCCUCUUGUGAUUCUGACGUCUAAGUGUAAGCACUCAGACCUGGCUGAUGUGUUUACACCAGAGUGCUCCUUCAUCUUGUGGUUCAGGGUGCGGAGGCCUUGAAUGGCUCUUGUGCGUGACCCAUCAGGUCCUGUGAUAUUUGGAAUAAACAACACUGGUCACCGAACAUUGAGCAGUCGCCACCCUUCUCGCCCAGGAGCAUGUCGACAGCUAUGCGGUUCUGGAAAGUCAUGAUUAUGAGCCAUCACCGGCGCGACGACAUGGACCAAUGAAGAAAGUGGCAAGUGAGCGUAAGCCUCAGGCAUCUUUGGAGUGGCACCACAGAGACACAACAUAUGGCCCCAGCGAAAGUAAGGUUCAAACAG
Molecule: long non-coding RNA, 372 nt
Organism: Syngnathoides biaculeatus (alligator pipefish)
Lineage: Eukaryota; Metazoa; Chordata; Actinopteri; Syngnathiformes; Syngnathidae
Exons: 3
Source: RefSeq, a predicted model, not a curated record